This 465-nucleotide ribosomal RNA is filed under the name Vreelandella stevensii. Its description in RNAcentral is "partial 16S ribosomal RNA". It matches the Rfam family "Bacterial small subunit ribosomal RNA", at positions 338 to 795 of the family's 1533-position model. Lineage: Bacteria; Pseudomonadati; Pseudomonadota; Gammaproteobacteria; Oceanospirillales; Halomonadaceae. The record is from RNAcentral.
CCUACGGGCGGCUGCAGUGGGGAAUAUUGGACAAUGGGGGGAACCCUGAUCCAGCCAUGCCGCGUGUGUGAAGAAGGCCCUCGGGUUGUAAAGCACUUUCAGUGAGGAAGAACGCCUGGUGGUUAAUACCCAUCAGGAAAGACAUCACUCACAGAAGAAGCACCGGCUAACUCCGUGCCAGCAGCCGCGGUAAUACGGAGGGUGCGAGCGUUAAUCGGAAUUACUGGGCGUAAAGCGCGCGUAGGUGGCUUGAUAAGCCGGUUGUGAAAGCCCCGGGCUCAACCUGGGAACGGCAUCCGGAACUGUCACGCUAGAGUGCAGGAGAGGAAGGUAGAAUUCCCGGUGUAGCGGUGAAAUGCGUAGAGAUCGGGAGGAAUACCAGUGGCGAAGGCGGCCUUCUGGACUGACACUGACACUGAGGUGCGAAAGCGUGGGUAGCAAACAGGAUUAGAUACCCCUGUAGUC